AGUGAACGCUGGCGGUAGGCCUAACACAUGCAAGUCGAACGGCAGCACAGUAAGAGCUUGCUCUUACGGGUGGCGAGUGGCGGACGGGUGAGGAAUACAUCGGAAUCUACUUUUUCGUGGGGGAUAACGUAGGGAAACUUACGCUAAUACCGCAUACGACCUACGGGUGAAAGCAGGGGAUCUUCGGACCUUGCGCGAUUGAAUGAGCCGAUGUCGGAUUAGCUAGUUGGCGGGGUAAAGGCCCACCAAGGCGACGAUCCGUAGCUGGUCUGAGAGGAUGAUCAGCCACACUGGAACUGAGACACGGUCCAGACUCCUACGGGAGGCAGCAGUGGGGAAUAUUGGACAAUGGGCGCAAGCCUGAUCCAGCCAUACCGCGUGGGUGAAGAAGGCCUUCGGGUUGUAAAGCCCUUUUGUUGGGAAAGAAAAGCAGCAGCUUAAUACCCCGCUGUUCUGACGGUACCCAAAGAAUAAGCACCGGCUAACUUCGUG
Molecule: ribosomal RNA, 492 nt
Filed under: uncultured bacterium
Lineage: Bacteria
Description: partial 16S ribosomal RNA
Rfam family: Bacterial small subunit ribosomal RNA
Source: RNAcentral